RNAcentral lists this transfer RNA (67 nucleotides) under Rattus norvegicus (Norway rat). It matches the Rfam family "tRNA". From Rfam's summary of the family: Transfer RNA (tRNA) molecules are approximately 80 nucleotides in length. Lineage: Eukaryota; Metazoa; Chordata; Mammalia; Rodentia; Muridae. The record is from Rfam by way of RNAcentral.
GGAUUUAGCUCAGUGGUAGAGCACUUGCCUACCAAGCACAAGGCCCUGGGUUCGGUCUCCAGAUCCG